RNAcentral lists this ribosomal RNA (431 nucleotides) under uncultured bacterium. Its description in RNAcentral is "partial 16S ribosomal RNA". It matches the Rfam family "Bacterial small subunit ribosomal RNA", at positions 29 to 507 of the family's 1533-position model. The record is from RNAcentral.
AACGAACGCUGGCGGCAGGCCUAACACAUGCAAGUCGAGCGCCCUUUCGGGGGAGCGGCGGACGGGUGAGUAACGCGUGGGAAUAUGCCCUUCUCUACGGAAUAGCCUCGGGAUACUGAGAGUAAUACCGUAUACGCCCUGUGGGGGAAAGAUUUAUCGGGGAAGGAUUAGCCCGCGUUGGAUUAGGUAGUUGGUGGGGUAAUGGCCUACCAAGCCGACAAUCCAUAGCUGGUUUGUGAGGAUGAUCAGCCACACUGGGACUGAGACACGGCCCAGACUCCUACGGGAAGCAGCAGUGGGGAAUCUUAGACAAUGGGGGCAACCCUGAUCUAGCCAUGCCGCGUGAGUGAUGAAGGCCUUAGGGUUGUAAAGCUCUUUCAGCUGGGAAGAUAAUGACGGUACCAGCAGAAGAAGCCCCGGCUAACUCCGUG